This 321-nucleotide ribosomal RNA is filed under the name uncultured eukaryote. Its description in RNAcentral is "partial 18S ribosomal RNA". It matches the Rfam family "Eukaryotic small subunit ribosomal RNA", at positions 1470 to 1796 of the family's 1831-position model. The record is from RNAcentral.
CCCUUAGAUGUUCUGGGCCGCACGCGCGCUACACUGAUGAACGCAACGAGACGACCUGUACCGAAAGGCAUGGGUAAACUUGUGAAAGUUCAUCGUGAUGGGGAUAGAUUAUUGCAAUUAUUAAUCUUCAACGAGGAAUUCCUAGUAAGCGCGAGUCAUCAGCUCGCGUUGAUUACGUCCCUGCCCUUUGUACACACCGCCCGUCGCUCCUACCGAUUGAAUGGUCCGGUGAAAUCUUCGGAUUGCUGGAUAGGAGGGCAACCACCUAUCUGCGAGAAGUUGCUAGAACCUUAUCAUUUAGAGGAAGGAGAAGUCGUAACA